UGCGGGAGACAGUGGAAGACAGGAGUGCCUGGCAUGCUCUGGUCCAUGGGGUCACGAAGAGUCGGACACGACUAAACGACUAAACAACAACAACAAUAUAUAUUUCUAAGAGGCUUCAACUCAGGAGCUAUGGCAGCAAGGCUGAGGUACCGCAGCAGCUUCCAAGGGGAGGGAAAUGCUGACCUCAUCUCACGUGCUGUGAAUGGUUGGGGAAUACAACACAAAGGAACAGGUAACACAAAGAACCAAUAGAUUACCAGUGAGGCUCUAUAAAGUGGUUGGCUUCUCAAACUAGAACUGCACAAAAUUAUUUUCCAAAAUUUCCACCAUAUUUGUCGGAGGGGGGAGGGAGUGCUGAGCAUUCCACUGAAUUUCUCCAACAUUUUCUAAGGGGUGGGUUACCAGAGCUUCUUGCUACCCCCCUCCCAAGUUCUUUCUUUAAUUGUCAUGGCAUGUAGCCACAGCAGGCACUGGGCAGCCUGCCUGCCUUUUUGCAUCCUCCAUAAUGCUCUAGAUGUAGUGCCAUUCUAAUGCUUUCUGUGUGUGAAUUUUUGUGGGAGGGGGCAGGGAGGGAAACAGCUGCUGCUACUACUACAAAAAAAACCCAGAAUACUUACAGAAAAUUAUGCAAAGUGGUUUUCUUUUUCAGGCGGUUCAGUUGGGUAUGACACAAACAGAAAUCUGAAAAAUUUUCUCUGACAAAUGUCUUAUGAGAAAUUUUGGUUCAGGUUUACCUCAGAGUGAGUAACGUGUUGAGCAGGUACAGGCCAAACUGUGACUGGCUUCUCAUCUCUGGGCUACCAGCCCAUAUAAUAUCAAGUGAAAUACAUGGAAGGGAGGGCUACCUCUGCCAACAGCUGAAAGGCAGUUUUUAAAUGUCAGCUAUACAAUUCUGAUAAGAACAGGAGCUGCAAAGAUCAGUAUCAGCUCUUUUCUCUUGAAACAUAUAUAUUGUGGUAACAUAAAGGGUGGGGAGAAAAGAGUAAACAUUUUCACCUUAGGAAAUCUGCUGACAAUAGAUUAUGGUGUACAAUGUACACGAGUGAGGACUGAGAAAGAACACAAAAACAAAACUAGAAAAUUAGCAACAUGGGCAGAAAAAAAUAUGAAAUUCAGCUUGGAUAAAAUGCAAGCUAGUGCAUCUCUGAAAUGAUAAGCUGAAACACACACAAACAAACAAAUGCACACUCUCAGCAGGAAACAAAACCCCAGAAACAAAAGUCGUAAUUCUGUUAAUAGCGGAUGGCCAAUUAGACACAUCCAUUUGUAGCUGGAUAUGGUGGUGAAGAAAAAAGGCCAAUGUAAUUUGAGGCUGUAUACACAAGAACAUUAAGUUAUGAGAAUCGAAGAAAUAAUUGCUUCUUUCUCUGUACACCUGGUUCAGGCGAUGACUUCAUCAGGAACAUUGUCUUUCACUUUUGGCAUCUUUUGUUUUUGUAUAAACAGGGACAGAUUUGAGAUAGGUCAGCUACUACAAAAGCAAAAACAAAUGACUUAGAAUGAAAAAUUCUUCCAGAGACACCGAUAGCUUUAGGCUUUAGUCUAUUGUCCCAAUAGACAAACACUAUUGGGUAACAUUUCCAUAUUAAUAAUCAAAGCACAUGAGUAAUGUGUUGAUGUUAACAGUAGUAAUAUUAAUGGUUGUUAUAACAGGAAGGAAUAAGUGGUUGCAAUUAAGAAAAGGAAACUUGAACUUGACUAAAUAACUUUCUAAAUAUUUAUUUAUUUAAACAUUUAUACCCCAUUUUUUAUAUAAAAUAAACCCAAAGCAUAUUACAAAAAAAUAAACAUGUCUGUUUUUAAAGAAAUAAACACAAUUCCCCCAUCUGUUUCUUCCCCCUUCUGCUUCUAAUUUUGUUUUUAUCUGAUCUUCCUAUAAUUUAUUUUUAAAAACUAUUUCUGUGCCAAUUGAUGUGAUAAGGAUCACCUACCUCAUAGGGGUGAUGUGAGGACAAAAUUGGAAGGAUUAUAUAAAGAAUUCCCUUUUUUCAACGCAACAAAUCUUGACUUGCCUCUGCUCUUCAUAAAUCCAACAAUCCAAAUAGGACUUUAGUUCCAGUUUCCCACAAUGGGGUUAAAUUUCCAGGGACUACCCAAAUAAUGACUCUUUGCUUUAGCUUUCAUGGACUCAGACUAAUUAGCAUAAAAUGAAUUCAUAAGGUCUGCUGAAAGCUGAGGAGCAAGACUCUUUUUCUCCCUGACUCCAAACACUUUGGGAACAAGCAG
Non-coding RNA from Podarcis lilfordi (Lilford's wall lizard), 2226 nucleotides. The record is from the annotation of a GenBank genome assembly. NCBI's taxonomy places the organism in Eukaryota, Metazoa, Chordata, Lepidosauria, Squamata, Lacertidae.